This 465-nucleotide ribosomal RNA is filed under the name uncultured bacterium. Its description in RNAcentral is "partial 16S ribosomal RNA". It matches the Rfam family "Bacterial small subunit ribosomal RNA", at positions 28 to 507 of the family's 1533-position model. The record is from RNAcentral.
GACGAACGCUGGCGGCGUGCUUAACACAUGCAAGUCGAACGGUAAGGCCCCUUCGGGGGUACACGAGUGGCGAACGGGUGAGUAACACGUGAGCAACCUGCCCUUGACUCUGGCAUAACAGUUGGAAACAGCUGCUAAUACUGGAUAUUCAUCGUCUCCUUCCUGGGGGGUGGUGGAAAGCUCCGGCGGUCAGGGAUGGGCUCGCGGUCUAUCAGCUUGUUGGUGAGGUAAUGGCUCACCAAGGCUUCGACGGGUAGCCGGCCUGAGAGGGCGACCGGCCACACUGGGACUGAGAUACGGCCCAGACUCCUACGGGAGGCAGCAGUGGGGAAUAUUGCACAAUGGGCGCAAGCCUGAUGCAGCAACGCCGCGUGCGGGAUGACGGCCUUCGGGUUGUAUACCGCUUUCAGUAGGGACGAAGGGUGACUGACGGUACCUACAGAAGAAGGACCGGCUGACUACGUG